RNAcentral lists this unclassified non-coding RNA (354 nucleotides) under soil metagenome. RNAcentral's name for it is "partial contains 5.8S ribosomal RNA, internal transcribed spacer 2, and large subunit ribosomal RNA". The stretch from base 1 to 120 matches the Rfam family "5.8S ribosomal RNA", at positions 35 to 154 of the family's 154-position model. The record is from RNAcentral.
GAUGAAGAACGUAGCGAAAUGCGAUAAGUAAUGUGAAUUGCAGAAUUCAGUGAAUCAUCGAAUCUUUGAACGCACAUUGCGCCCGCCAGUAUUCUGGCGGGCAUGCCUGUCUGAGCGUCAUUUCAACCCUCAUGCCCCUAGGGCGUGGUGUUGGGGAUCGGCGGAAGCCCCCUGCGGGCACAACGCCGUCCCCCAAAUACAGUGGCGGUCCCGCCGCAGCUUCCAUUGCGUAGUAGCUAACACCUCGCAACUGGAGAGCGGCGCGGCCACGCCGUAAAACACCCAACUUCUGAAUGUUGACCUCGAAUCAGGUAGGAAUACCCGCUGAACUUAAGCAUAUCAAUAAGCGGAGGA